AGCGUACACGGUGGAUGCCCUGGCAGUCAGAGGCGAUGAAGGACGUGCUAAUCUGCGAUAAGCGUCGGUAAGGUGAUAUGAACCGUUAUAACCGGCGAUUUCCGAAUGGGGAAACCCAGUGUGAUUCGUCACACUAUCAUUAACUGAAUCCAUAGGUUAAUGAGGCGAACCGGGGGAACUGAAACAUCUAAGUACCCCGAGGAAAAGAAAUCAACCGAGAUUCCCCCAGUAGCGGCGAGCGAACGGGGAGCAGCCCAGAGCCUGAAUCAGUGUGUGUGUUAGUGGAAGCGUCUGGAAAGGCGCGCGAUACAGGGUGACAGCCCCGUACACAAAAAUGCACAUGCUGUGAGCUCGAUGAGUAGGGCGGGACACGUGGUAUCCUGUCUGAAUAUGGGGGGACCAUCCUCCAAGGCUAAAUACUCCUGACUGACCGAUAGUGAACCAGUACCGUGAGGGAAAGGCGAAAAGAACCCCGGCGAGGGGAGUGAAAAAGAACCUGAAACCGUGUACGUACAAGCAGUGGGAGCACGCUUCGGCGUGUGACUGCGUACCUUUUGUAUAAUGGGUCAGCGACUUAUAUUCUGUAGCAAGGUUAACCGAAUAGGGGAGCCGAAGGGAAACCGAGUCUUAACUGGGCGUUAAGUUGCAGGGUAUAGACCCGAAACCCGGUGAUCUAGCCAUGGGCAGGUUGAAGGUUGGGUAACACUAACUGGAGGACCGAACCGACUAAUGUUGAAAAAUUAGCGGAUGACUUGUGGCUGGGGGUGAAAGGCCAAUCAAACCGGGAGAUAGCUGGUUCUCCCCGAAAGCUAUUUAGGUAGCGCCUCGUGAAUUCAUCUCCGGGGGUAGAGCACUGUUUCGGCAAGGGGGUCAUCCCGACUUACCAACCCGAUGCAAACUGCGAAUACCGGAGAAUGUUAUCACGGGAGACACACGGCGGGUGCUAACGUCCGUCGUGAAGAGGGAAACAACCCAGACCGCCAGCUAAGGUCCCAAAGUCAUGGUUAAGUGGGAAACGAUGUGGGAAGGCCCAGACAGCCAGGAUGUUGGCUUAGAAGCAGCCAUCAUUUAAAGAAAGCGUAAUAGCUCACUGGUCGAGUCGGCCUGCGCGGAAGAUGUAACGGGGCUAAACCAUGCACCGAAGCUGCGGCAGCGACACUAUGUGUUGUUGGGUAGGGGAGCGUUCUGUAAGCCUGUGAAGGUGUACUGUGAGGUAUGCUGGAGGUAUCAGAAGUGCGAAUGCUGACAUAAGUAACGAUAAAGCGGGUGAAAAGCCCGCUCGCCGGAAGACCAAGGGUUCCUGUCCAACGUUAAUCGGGGCAGGGUGAGUCGACCCCUAAGGCGAGGCCGAAAGGCGUAGUCGAUGGGAAACAGGUUAAUAUUCCUGUACUUGGUGUUACUGCGAAGGGGGGACGGAGAAGGCUAUGUUGGCCGGGCGACGGUUGUCCCGGUUUAAGCGUGUAGGCUGGUUUUCCAGGCAAAUCCGGAAAAUCAAGGCUGAGGCGUGAUGACGAGGCACUACGGUGCUGAAGCAACAAAUGCCCUGCUUCCAGGAAAAGCCUCUAAGCAUCAGGUAACAUCAAAUCGUACCCCAAACCGACACAGGUGGUCAGGUAGAGAAUACCAAGGCGCUUGAGAGAACUCGGGUGAAGGAACUAGGCAAAAUGGUGCCGUAACUUCGGGAGAAGGCACGCUGAUAUGUAGGUGAAGCGACUUGCUCGUGGAGCUGAAAUCAGUCGAAGAUACCAGCUGGCUGCAACUGUUUAUUAAAAACACAGCACUGUGCAAACACGAAAGUGGACGUAUACGGUGUGACGCCUGCCCGGUGCCGGAAGGUUAAUUGAUGGGGUUAGCGGUAACGCGAAGCUCUUGAUCGAAGCCCCGGUAAACGGCGGCCGUAACUAUAACGGUCCUAAGGUAGCGAAAUUCCUUGUCGGGUAAGUUCCGACCUGCACGAAUGGCGUAAUGAUGGCCAGGCUGUCUCCACCCGAGACUCAGUGAAAUUGAACUCGCUGUGAAGAUGCAGUGUACCCGCGGCAAGACGGAAAGACCCCGUGAACCUUUACUAUAGCUUGACACUGAACAUUGAGCCUUGAUGUGUAGGAUAGGUGGGAGGCUUUGAAGUGUGGACGCCAGUCUGCAUGGAGCCGACCUUGAAAUACCACCCUUUAAUGUUUGAUGUUCUAACGUUGACCCGUGAUCCGGGUUGCGGACAGUGUCUGGUGGGUAGUUUGACUGGGGCGGUCUCCUCCUAAAGAGUAACGGAGGAGCACGAAGGUUGGCUAAUCCUGGUCGGACAUCAGGAGGUUAGUGCAAUGGCAUAAGCCAGCUUGACUGCGAGCGUGACGGCGCGAGCAGGUGCGAAAGCAGGUCAUAGUGAUCCGGUGGUUCUGAAUGGAAGGGCCAUCGCUCAACGGAUAAAAGGUACUCCGGGGAUAACAGGCUGAUACCGCCCAAGAGUUCAUAUCGACGGCGGUGUUUGGCACCUCGAUGUCGGCUCAUCACAUCCUGGGGCUGAAGUAGGUCCCAAGGGUAUGGCUGUUCGCCAUUUAAAGUGGUACGCGAGCUGGGUUUAGAACGUCGUGAGACAGUUCGGUCCCUAUCUGCCGUGGGCGCUGGAGAACUGAGGGGGGCUGCUCCUAGUACGAGAGGACCGGAGUGGACGCAUCACUGGUGUUCGGGUUGUCAUGCCAAUGGCACUGCCGGGUAGCUAAAUGCGGAAGAGAUAAGUGCUGAAAGCAUCUAAGCACGAAACUUGCCCCGAGAUGAGUUCU
RNAcentral lists this ribosomal RNA (2774 nucleotides) under human gut metagenome. RNAcentral's name for it is "bacterial LSU rRNA". It matches the Rfam family "Bacterial large subunit ribosomal RNA". The record is from RNAcentral.